RNAcentral lists this ribosomal RNA (460 nucleotides) under uncultured bacterium. Its description in RNAcentral is "partial 16S ribosomal RNA". It matches the Rfam family "Bacterial small subunit ribosomal RNA", at positions 338 to 795 of the family's 1533-position model. The record is from RNAcentral.
CCUACGGGAGGCAGCAGUGAGGAAUAUUGGUCAAUGGGCGUAAGCCUGAACCAGCCAAGUCGCGUGAGGGAUGAAGGUUCUAUGGAUCGUAAACCUCUUUUAUAAGGGAAUGAAGUGUGGGACGUUUCCUGUUUUUUAUGUACCUUAUGAAUAAGGAUCGGCUACCUCCGUGCCAGCAGCCGAUGUAAUACGGAGGAUCCGUGCGUUAUCCGGAUUUAUUGGGUUUAAAGGGUGCGUAGGCGGCCUUUUAAGUCAGCGGUGAAAGUCUGUGGCUUAACCAUAGAAUUGCCGUUGAAACUGGGAGGCUUGUGUAUGUUUGAGGCAGGCGGAAUGAGUGGUGUAGCGGUGAAAUGCUUAGAUAUCACGCAGAACCCCGAUUGCGAAGGCAGCCUGCCAAGCCAUGACUGACGCUGAUGCACGAAAGCGUGGGGAUCAAACAGGAUUAGAUACCCUGGUAGUC